GAUCUCUGACUUUAUGCAUAUAUUCUGACUUUAAAGUUGAUGUUUUGCCGCUUUAGCUCUAGAAUUACUCUGAGAUCUG
Molecule: small nucleolar RNA, 79 nt
Organism: Varanus komodoensis (Komodo dragon)
Lineage: Eukaryota; Metazoa; Chordata; Lepidosauria; Squamata; Varanidae
Source: Ensembl